GACGAACGCUGGCGGCGUGCUUAACACAUGCAAGUCGGACGGAAAGGCCCUGCUUUUGUGGGGUGCUCGAGUGGCGAACGGGUGAGUAACACGUGAGUAACCUGCCCUUGACUUUGGGAUAACUUCAGGAAACUGGGGCUAAUACCGGAUAGGAGCUCCUGCUGCAUGGUGGGGGUUGGAAAGUUUCGGCGGUUGGGGAUGGACUCGCGGCUUAUCAGCUUGUUGGUGGGGUAGUGGCUUACCAAGGCUUUGACGGGUAGCCGGCCUGAGAGGGUGACCGGCCACAUUGGGACUGAGAUACGGCGCAGACUCCUACGGGAGGCAGCAGUGGGGAAUAUUGCACAAUGGGCGGAAGCCUGAUGCAGCAACGCCGCGUGCGGGAUGACGGCCUUCGGGUUGUAAACCGCUUUCGCCUGUGACGAAGCGUGAGUGACGGUAAUGGGUAAAGAAGCACCGGCUAACUACGUG
This 468-nucleotide ribosomal RNA is filed under the name uncultured bacterium. RNAcentral's name for it is "partial 16S ribosomal RNA". It matches the Rfam family "Bacterial small subunit ribosomal RNA", at positions 28 to 507 of the family's 1533-position model. The record is from RNAcentral.